CUUGUUCCUGGAAGACCAUGAUCAGAAGAAGGGAGAACUGAUGCUGGGAAACAACCGGUGUUCCCAGCCUGCUCUUCAGCUUUUUGCUUCCUGGAAUUCUGCUAUAUCCGACGUUGGCACCCACCCGGCCUGGCACACCGCCAAGCUCAGAGCUUCUCUGCUUGCUGCACCUGCUGCUGGACCGCACUCUACCCAGACACGAGGACCAUUCACCCCAUCACUUUACUUGAGUCUUCGUUCAAAUGUCACCCCUCCCAAAGCCUUUCCCUGGGUCCCGGUCCGCAGUCACCCCCACGGAACCCCACCACUCUGUCCUCAGCACCCGACUUCCUCUGUCUUUGCGGCACAGAGCGCAGCCUGCUGCUCUGUUGCACAUACUGACCACGUUCUCACACCUUGUCCCGCGCACUCACUAGGAAGUCAGCUGUGUGAAACAGGGACUUGGUCACCUUCGCUCUGCUGUGACCCACCGCCUGGGACACGGCCGCCGCAAAACGAACAGCGCUUUGCGUGCUCGCUUCCGCAGCACAUACGCUAAUAAAUAGCACUUUGUUGAAUUCUCUAAAUUUCUAGAUACAAAUAGAUCUAACACGACCUGAAUGAACUCGGCUUUUCUUCCUUCCUCCUCCUCCUCCUUCCCGGUUCUCCUCCUCAGUUCCGUGUACUCUGCGCGGCAGCCCUGCCAGCCCUGCUGGGACCCCGCUGCACCCCCAGCCCCGGCAGGGAUCGGGCCCUCUCUGCUGUCUGCGGCUGUAGUUCCAGACUUCCGGUGACCUGUUUUCUCUCCAGGAAGAGAGGAAAGACUGGAGGAGGGUGGAGGGGAGAUAAUGCAUUAUCU
RNAcentral lists this long non-coding RNA (838 nucleotides) under Chinchilla lanigera (long-tailed chinchilla). Its description in RNAcentral is "lncRNA (ENSCLAG00000029245.1)". The record is from RNAcentral. Lineage: Eukaryota; Metazoa; Chordata; Mammalia; Rodentia; Chinchillidae.